RNAcentral lists this long non-coding RNA (510 nucleotides) under Pan troglodytes (chimpanzee). Its description in RNAcentral is "long non-coding RNA NONPTRT006382". The record is from RNAcentral. Lineage: Eukaryota; Metazoa; Chordata; Mammalia; Primates; Hominidae.
CCUGGUCCCUGUCUGCCGGCAUUCGCGGCUGCGGGGCCCGGAGGUGGGACUGGCUUCCCGGUGCCGCGAGGACGGGUCCGGACAGCCUUCCCCCGAGUCCGGCGCACCAUCUCCCUGCCUUGUGGCUGGAGGCGCCGCGGACCCAAGGGAGGGACCAUCCCGGGAAGCAGCCCCGAGAGCGGAAGUGCAGAAUGGCUUCCUCGAGAGAGUAAAGUGCAGCCUCUCCAGACACUGGGGCCCAGGUGGGCGUGGGCGAAGUUGCUGGUAGGAGGAGUUGGCGGAAGCACUUGGAACUCAUUUAUAAGUGUCAGCUGUGAGGUAAAAACUGUUGAUGAGAUCUUGUGGGUUUUGUUUUGGGUUCACGAAUUUGGGCGGGGGCUACAUAACUGCCUACUUGAGUUUGCAAUAUGAGAAUGGUAAUAGCGACCCACUUAGCAGAAUUAUGAUGUCACAAAGCUCAAAGGACUGUUUAAUGAAAGGCUCAGAGGAUCAUAUACUGGAAAAUUUUUC